This 109-nucleotide small RNA is filed under the name Paenibacillus rhizosphaerae. RNAcentral's name for it is "Guanidine-I sequence". It matches the Rfam family "Guanidine-I riboswitch aptamer". Rfam says of the family: This family represents a conserved RNA structure found upstream of the ykkC and yxkD genes in Bacillus subtilis and related genes in other bacteria. Lineage: Bacteria; Bacillati; Bacillota; Bacilli; Caryophanales; Paenibacillaceae. The record is from Rfam by way of RNAcentral.
CGAAAUGUCUUCUAGGGUUCCGGGUCGAUGAAAGUCAUCGGCUGGCUGGUCCGAGAGAAGGCGCACCGGGGCAGCCUGGUGUACACGGCGGGAAAAAAGCCCGGGAGAA